This is a long non-coding RNA of Cydia fagiglandana, 1993 nucleotides long. RefSeq lists it as uncharacterized. The transcript is spliced from 6 exons. Lineage: Eukaryota; Metazoa; Arthropoda; Insecta; Lepidoptera; Tortricidae. The record is from RefSeq and is a predicted model, not a curated record.
UAUAAUGUGAUGAAAUCAAAAACACGCUUUAAUAUCCCUGGCAACAUGGUGCGUGUGCGCUUGGGAGUAUAAUGCGACGAAAUCAAAAACAUGCUUUAAUAUUCCCGGCAACAUACAAAACACAACUCACGCAAUUUGGUCGGGUAUUGUUUGUUUGUAAGUAAGUUUCCAAUAGAUGGCGCAAGUAAUUAAAUUUGAAAAAGGAAAUACUUUAUUAUUCAAGUACAUAAUUUGUACGUCAUAUCAAUUUGAUGAUAUAAACACAUUUAUACAAUGAGAACAAUUUAAUUAUCAAUUUAAUAGCUUCAAAUCACAAGUUAUUCUAGACUGAAUCGGAACGCUGCUUAAGUGAUUUGUCUAUGGCAACUCUCGCGACUGUCAAGCUGUCAACCUGCUGUUGUAUUUUUUUCUUCUUGUUCAGUAACGACAUUAUUUUCUUCAUAAUUUAUUGUUUGUGAUGUUAUAUAUUAUUCAAAGUUACCUCAGUUACCGGUGUAAUACUAUUCAAAUACCAAUACAUCCAGGAAACGUUGAGAACCAAGCUCUGUUUACGAUGUGACGUUGUUUCGUGGAUGAUUGCGACAACAAAAUUACCCAGACGGACCAAAUUUGAAAUAUAAAGCAAAGAUUGCCUCUGAGAGCGCUCUUAUGGGUUUAAUAAUAUUGCAACAUUGCAGAUUCUGUAGAAAACAAAUGAUGUGGGAAUUCAGAAACAUUACAUGGCCAAUGCUCCCCCUAGAAACUUGUACUUUUUUCGUCAAAUGAUGGGUGAACCUAGUGCUUUUAACUACGAUCCAGUGUACAAACUGUCUAGUACAAGGAUGUGUAAAAGAGUCUAGCUGUCGAUAAUGUGCAUGAAAUGACUUAAAUGUGGAAGCUUCCUCAAAACAAGCAAACUGUCAAUUCUAAGAGCUGUAUGCACAAAUCAUCACUGAAAAGAAACUGAAAUUACGCUUCGGAGACUCCUUUGCUAUUUUUGAUGAAACCAAACAACUGUAAAACCAAACAAAAAUGGUUGCCGCCAGUGGAACUUGAAGCAGAGUGGUGCAAAUUCCCAAUGUUUAUUACCUUCAUGGACUCUUUCAAGUCUUUUAACAAUCUCCAAGCAAUGUUCCGAGAACUGGCAUAGCUCUGCAGUAACAAUUUUCCUGCCUACAAACUUCAUCUACAGACUGUCUCCAGUGACAUGACAGACGACCAUGGGUCCUACUACUACAGGUACUUUGAAGACUCCUGCUUGAUGGCGGUAUUUCAAGAAUUUUGCUGAAACAAUGGCUGCUCGACAGACAGAAAAAAUGAUCCCUGCGUUAUUCUUAUCUAUGUAUACAAUAAGAUACGCUAGCAGUCAGAAAAUGAAGAAUGGUUCUAAAAGUCCCUGACCAUGACUGAAUGUUGAAAGAAAGUAAAAGAAAGGCGCCUUCAAGACAGCAGUAUCUCUAAGGACACUACCCUUAACCAAGACUGAAAACUGAAGAAAUGUAUUUAAGGCCUUAAUUAUUAAAUAAUGAAGUAAUUUUUUGUCUUUUUAGUUAAAAGCAAGGCUAAUAUUUUUCUUAAGAGUCCAAAACAUAGCGUACCCACUCCGCUCUCACUUGCAACAAAAUGCCUUUAUGGCUAAAAGGCUAUUUUCUAUUAUUUAUUUUUAAAACCUCGGUAUCCAAAAUGAAUCUAAAAGGAACCAAAACGUAGCCUAAAAGGCUACUUUUACAUAGAUAUUAAAAUACCGUAGUAACCCAGGUAAACUACAUCCUGUGUCACGUUUCACCAAAAUGUCACUCUCCACCCUUCCUUAACCUAUAUAAAUAAAUAUAUAAAUACAUAAUUCCCUAAUUACACUAAUAUUUGGCCACGUGAUCGUCUAGUCUAGUAGUUAGGACCCCUCUGAAGUGAACCGAGAUACCCUAGAUUCUUUAAUGAGUAACAGCUAUAUUUUGGACUCCAAUAUUAUUUUACUUUACCUAGAUUGUAAGAAGAUAAUUAUGGUACUGAAGAU